Molecule: ribosomal RNA, 403 nt
Filed under: uncultured bacterium
Lineage: Bacteria
Description: bacterial SSU rRNA
Rfam family: Bacterial small subunit ribosomal RNA
Source: RNAcentral
UAGGGAGUAUUGCUUAAUGGGCGAAAGCCUGAAGCAGCAACGCCGCGUGUGUGAAGAAGGCCUUCGGGUUGUAAAACACUUUUUGAGGGAAUGAGGAAGGACAGUACCCUCAGAAUAAGCCUCGGCUACUACGUGCCAGCAGCCGCGGUAAAACGUAGGAGGCGAGCGUUAUCCGGAUUUACUGGGCGUAAAGCGCGUGCAGGCGGCACGGCAAGUUGGAUGUGAAAGCUCCCGGCUUAACUGGGAGAGGUCGUUCAAAACUGCCGAGCUAGAGUGCGGGAGAGGGAGGUGGAAUUCCGGGUGUAGUGGUGAAAUGCGUAGAUAUCCGGAGGAACACCAGUGGCGAAAGCGGCCUCCUGGUCCGCAACUGACGCUCAGACGCGAAAGCUAGGGUAGCAAACGG